GAUAAAUAUAGAGAUGGAAUAAAAAUAUUAAAAUACUCUUAGUUAUUAAAAAAAUAUUUUUAAAAUUUCAGUUUCUAUGUUCAAAAAAUUUAUUUUCUUUUGUUCCUAUUUUUUAAAGAUAUCAAAGGAACCGAAAUUUUGUAUUACAAAACUUAAAUUUUAGGUAUCCUUAAUCAAUAAAGAUAAUACUAAAUCUCAAUUUUCUAAUUUUAAUUUUAAUAUCUGAAAAUAAACACUACCUAAAAGAUCAUAGAAUUGAAAUAGAAGACAACUCAGGACAUCGACAUAGGUGGUAAAAGAAUUCUACGUAUAUUUUCAAUUCAAUUUUAUUGAAAAGUUCUAUAUUAUAGUAUAUACAUACUUUCAUCAUAAUGAUUUUCAGUCAAUCAAAAUUAAAUUUGAUUAAUGAUCAUUAUUACCUUAAAAUCAAACCAUCUCAAAGAUAUUUUUUCAUUUCUAGACAACUAAUUUUGUACAUUUAAUUAUAUUCUGUGUCAACUUCUCCUUCAUUACUAUUUUUGAAUUUUAAUGUGGCCUCCAGUUGAAUACCUGAACUAUUAGGCUACCUUUGGAUUAUUAAUGAUAAAUAAGAUAUUAGAGUGGAAUAGAUUUUAAGGAAGUAGAAUGGAGCCCAAACAUAAAUAUAAAAUAGAAUAUAGGGGAAACUAGAAGACAUAGUGUCAACUGCGGGAUGACACCAAGAAUUUUUGAGAACUUAUUUUCAAGGAUCCAAAAGGUAAUAUUUAUUGAAGGUUUAGAUGUCAUAGGCUAAACUUAUGCUUCAUCUGUAGGUUGGACGAAUAUCAUGUGAUGAAUAUUGUUUCUAUGUUAUGGCUAUAGGGUUCUAUUUGAAAGAUAAAUAUUCUUGCUGAGAUAGUCAUCUUUUAAAAAAUCUUCUUUUACAUGUAUAUUUUUUUAUCACCUUUUAUUGAAUUCUGUUAUUUUUUUAUCAAACAAUUAUGCAAUAAUCAUUAAAUCAUCCACUUAUUGUUGAUCUUGUCAGUUCUAUAUUUGAACUUUUGAUAUUUUAUUUGGAUUGAUUAAGGACAUCCAUAUUUUUGAAUGACUAAUAAACAAUAUAUUGAUAUAAUUCUUAUGUUGCAGUAUGACCAUUCAUACAUUUAUGGUAGCAAGGAUCUAAUUUUAGUCUGUAUUUCUCUAAUGAACCAGGAAAAAAAGGUUUGGAGAGAUGAAAAAUUAAAAUUUACGUGCAAAAAUUCUUUCUUGGAGAUUUACAAUGAACAGAUUCUUGAUCUUUUGGACUCAUCAUCUAACAAUCUACAAGUAUUGCUAACCAUUCAUAAAGAAAUAGCAUCUCCUUAAUUUUUAAAUCGUCUCUUUUAUUUUCAAAAUACCUUUUCUCUUUUUGUUCUGUUCCCAAAGUAUCUUUUUUGUAGCAAAGUCGAUUUUCAUAUCAUUGGAGGUUCCUCUGAGCCUAAGAAGAUAAUAAAUACAAAAAAAAUUGCAUGGAUAUGACCUACUAUUUCAGUGUUUCUCUGAAUAUUUUUGAAAGAGUUUUAAUACAUCUAUUGAAUCUUAUUCAUCUAAAACUACGUGGCAGAUAAGAGAAGACAUUAAAAAAGGAGUUUAUAUGGAAAACAUCAAGGAAGUUGAACUCACUAAUCCUCGAGAUGCCAUCAGCAACUUAUUCAUGUUUGUGUUAAUCUGGAACAUUAUUAACAUUAGCAGUAUUGAUUUUUACUUGGUAUUUUCAGAAACAUUUAGUGUUUCGUAGUAAGUACCUACUAUGCUAUUCCAAAAUCUUCACAAUUCUUUCUAGAUUUGUUCAAUGAUUUUUGCACAUGGAAUCCUAUUCGUUAAUAGCCAUGAAUGAAAAUAACGAUAAUCUGAUAUUAUUUAGGGCACUGCAAAUAGAAAGGUGGCUGCUACAAAUAUGAAUUAUGUUAGCAGUCAUUCUCACAGUGUAUUUACUUGCAACAUUGAGUGUUAGGUGACUAAUAUUGAUGCUUUACAUUUUUUCUUAUUAGAUAUUUAUGUAAAACAGAAAAAAAGAAACUUAUUUAUUUAUGUUCUUUAACAAUAUUCUAAAAGCUUAAUUAACAUGUCCGUAGUGGGAAUCUCAAGGAGUGACUCUCUUUCGAUUUACUAGACUUAACCUUGUUGAUUUGGCUGGAUCAAAGAGGUAGAAAAGUUCUGGUGCUAAAGGGGAGCGCCUCAAGGAAGCUACUAAUAUCAAUAAGUCUCUUUCAACCUUGGGGCUUGUGAUUAUGAACUUAGUAACUAUAUCGAAUGGGAAGUCGCUACAUGUUCUGUACCGUGAUUCACAGCUUACUUUUUUACUUCAAGUCAGUGGUGGAUCUUUCUAGCUUUACAUUACUUUGGUGGUGGAUCAUAGUUCCAAAUUAGAUUCACGUGUGUGUAUAUUAGAGGCAAAGCAUAUAUAUUACAAAAAUAAAAAGCAAAUAGUUCUUGUACAACUAGCUUUGAUUUGAAGUCCAGAAAGUAACUCUGUGAUUGAACAAUAAUAGAUUCUCUAUGGUAAAGCUUCUAUAUUCCCGAAUAUAUAGUGUGCAAUGGCUUGAUGAGAAAAAAAAGUUCCAGGACACAAAAUUGGGAGAUCAAUGUACAUAUGGAUAGAAGGUGUUACGUGGUCCGUGAGUGAGAAAUACAUAAUAGCAUGUGACUCAAUGACAAUAUUCAUAGAGCCUCAAUACUUUGACUUCUUCACAAGAAACAUAGUACCUUUGCAGCAUUACUGGCCUAUCAACACCACCAACAUGUGUGAGGACAUCAAAUUGAAAAAUGUGUAUGAUUACAUAUUGCAUCUACUAAAAUAAUAUGGUAAACUCCAAAAAUUCAAACCCAGAAUACCUGAAGGAGCGAAAGAGAUGUGCUCUGAGAGGAAGGGAUGUCGCUUGCACAACGGUCCAAGAAAGAGAUACAUGGAUGAAUCCAUUGUUAAGUCACCAAGUUCCACACUUCCAUGUAUGAAAUAUUGCUUGUGUUAGAUGGAAUGUUGUAUGAAUCCAUUGAAAACAUUGAUAUGGUUAAACAUUGAAAACAUCAGUACACUUUGUUUAUGUUUUGAA
Long non-coding RNA from Arachis stenosperma, 3050 nucleotides. RefSeq lists it as uncharacterized. Lineage: Eukaryota; Viridiplantae; Streptophyta; Magnoliopsida; Fabales; Fabaceae. The record is from RefSeq and is a predicted model, not a curated record. The transcript is spliced from 5 exons.